CUGUGUCCCCAAGGUCCCCCGUGUCCUCAACACCCACCCUGAGUCCCCCUGCCCCACGGAGGGUCCCUGAUGUCACUGCACUCCCUUCCUGAUGUCCCUGCCCUGUGCCACCCGCAUCCCUGUCCCGCUCUGUCUCCAGUGUCCCCAAUGUCCCCCGGCUGACGCUGUCCCCACCCUGCCCAGACCCAGCUUUCGAGGACUCGGACAAAUUCCACGCUCCGGCGCGGCCGCUCCAGGGAUUGGCCUAUUCCUAAGGACGGCGUCUCCGGAGUGGCUCCGGAUCCCCCAUCCCGCCGGGACAAGGACUGGGGACAUCCCUGUCCCCUCCCCUCGGAGCUGGGCGGAGCCACCAGGCUCAGCGGGAUGAGGGGACCCAGCCCCCUGAUGUCCCCACCCCGGGUGACCCUGGCCUGGCCCGGCUGAGGGGGGACUCGGGGAAAUCCUGGAAUGAGCCAAAAUUCCUGGGUUUGGCCUCAGGAAGAGGUGGAGAGAGCCGGGAAUGGGGCGGAGGAGGGAGAGGGGUGGAGGCGCCGGGAUGGGCAGGAGGGGUGGUCCAGAAUGGGAGGGAUGAUCCAGAAAAGGAUGGAUGAUCCAAGGUGGGAUGGAUCAUCCAAGGUGGGAUGGAAGCUGUGGAAAAGGAUGGAUGAUCCAAGGUGGGAUGGAUAUCCAGGUUGGGAUGGAAACUCCAGGAUGGGUUGGAUGAUCCUGGUGGGAUGGAUUAUCCAAGAUGGGAUGGAAGCUCUGGAAAAGGAUGGAUGAGCCAAGGUGGGAUGGACUCUCUGGGAUGAGAUGGAUGCUCCAGGUUGGGAUGCAUGAUCCAAGGCAGGAUGGAUGAUCCAGGUGGGAUGGAUGUUCAACAUAGGAUGGAUACUCCAGAAAAGGAUGCUCCAGGUGGGAUGGAAGCUUAAGGAUGGGUUGGAUGUUCCAAGGUGGGAUGGAUGAUCCAAAGUGAGGUGGAUGAUCCAGGAUGGGAUGGAUACUCCAGGAUGGAAGGGAUGUUCUAGGUGGGAUGGAUGAUCCAAGUGGAAUAGAUGUUCCAAUGAUGGGUGGAUGCUCCAGAAAAGGAUAAUCCAAGGUGGGAUGGAUGCUUCAGGUUUGAACGGAUGUUCUAGGUGGGAUGGAUGAUCCACAGUGGGAUGGAAGCUCUCUACAAUAGGGUGGAUAUUGAGGAUUAGAGGGAUGAUCCAAGAGAAGAUGGAUGCUCCUGGGCAGGGGGGAUGAUCUGGAGUGGGAUG
This 1235-nucleotide long non-coding RNA is filed under the name Junco hyemalis (dark-eyed junco). RNAcentral's name for it is "lncRNA (ENSJHYG00000005473.1)". Lineage: Eukaryota; Metazoa; Chordata; Aves; Passeriformes; Passerellidae. The record is from RNAcentral.